This is a non-coding RNA of Podarcis lilfordi (Lilford's wall lizard), 69 nucleotides long. NCBI's taxonomy places the organism in Eukaryota, Metazoa, Chordata, Lepidosauria, Squamata, Lacertidae. The record is from the annotation of a GenBank genome assembly.
GCCAUGGCUCAGUAGCAGAGCUUCUGUUUUGCAUGCAGAAGGUCCCAGGUUCAAUCCCCGGCAUCUCCA